This is a long non-coding RNA of Dromaius novaehollandiae (emu), 244 nucleotides long. RefSeq lists it as uncharacterized. Lineage: Eukaryota; Metazoa; Chordata; Aves; Casuariiformes; Dromaiidae. The transcript is spliced from 3 exons. The record is from RefSeq and is a predicted model, not a curated record.
UCUGCAGCUAAACAUGCUGAGUCUGUUGUUCAUUUUGAGAGGCGGUUGUUCAUUUUGAGAAGUUCUCCAUUUUUUUGAAAUACGAUAUUGACAGAAAGGUCCUACUUUUAUUGAAGGAUCAGCAGCUUUGGAGCAAAUGUGACUCGCUUUGGGCUGAUAGAACUUCAUAAAUAGUAACCGGCAGAAAGCCUGAACCUUGAGACUCGUGCAGCACAGAUGUGACACAGCAAGCGGUCAACAAAUG